GCCCGGCGGGCUGCCGGCGGGGCGGCUGCAGGUCCGCUGCCGGUCGGUAGAGGCCUCCCUUCCGAGGCUCUGGCUCCGGCCGCUCCCCGCUGGGUCUCCUCUCCCCGGCGCAGGCCGUGCUCUGCGAGGUCCCUGCGCCGCUGCCGCCCCGUGAGUGUUCCCCACUCGCGCUCCUCCUCCCGCAGGCGGCAGCGCCCGUUGCUUAGAGGGCAACGUGGUGCUGACAGCUCGGGGGUAUCUGGGAUGUCUCAACCACUAACUUGGGCCAGCCAUAGUACUCCUGGGAAGGAAGAUGCAUUGCAAGGGGAUUGGACAGAGAGAUUGACCAACACUGGAAAAGGCUUCUAAUGUGAGGAAAAACACGGAAUGACAAGUGUGGGAAAGAGCAAGCACUAAAUUACUGUCAGAAAAAUAAACGGAGUAGCACAGUGGUGCUCGGUGAUUUACGGGGGCAAUUAGUCACCACCCCACGGCGCUGCAGAGGACGCACAGCGGCAGGCAGCAGGCCCGAGAGGAAGAAGAGGCUCUGCACCACUCACCAGACAACUUUUCAGACAAGAAGAGAGAGGGCCGAGCACACGAGGUGCCGUGUCUUCAUUCUGGGUGCCCACCCUGCAUAUUAUUCAACCCACCUGAUACAUAAAUGUAUUUCCAGCACAAUAGAAAUGUUUGCUGUGUGUUUAAAGACCUCCAAAGGUGCUUUUAAAAAUGUUCUUUCCCGCUGUCCAAAGUCGGUUUUCACCCAUUCCUUCAAACACCAAACGAGCAAGAGAUAUUUCUGCUUCCUUGAUUAUCUGCCUGCUGGUGGCUUCAGUCUUCUCUCUGGCUUCUUGUGUCUUGCUACCAUGUUCUGUGUUUGCUCAGAGCCAACGGGUACUAAGGAGUUGGGAGUGUAGAGCCUCUAAGGAGUUUGGUGGACUGGUUCAGGAGGUGAGAAACAAGGCCAUAGAGCAGAGGAAAUGAAAAAGACACAGAGGAAAUGAAAAAUGCACAGAAACAUGGCAAGAAUCGCUAACAUGGCCUUUAACAUCCCAUUUGUAGUGUCUAUGUUUAUGUAAGCCAGCAAAAGCUAAACCUACGAGGACAUCUCAAGUUGGUUUACAUUCCUGAAUGGGAAUUCUCCAUCAGAAGGAACCUAGGGUGGAAGCGCAGGAAAGAGCCCAGACAGAGACUUUAUUUACAGACUAAAUGUCAUGUCUGUGUCAGGGCCAAUGGCAGGGAAGCUGAGGUGAAGCGUCAUCAAAAGUUCAGUAUCCUAAUGAAGCUGCACUCCUAAUCAAGGAGUGCAGCUAGCUUACAUUUUUGAAGGAGUUUCCAGUGUACAAAGGAAAUCUGGCUUUCCCUUUCUCAUUUGAUCUCACUUUGUCUUUAGUUAAGAGUAUUCAGAACUGUGUUCCGUAGAGUUGGAGAAUGUGACCCACACAUACCACCUUGCCCUGGUAUAUCCUAAGAGGCAGCACUAUUUUGAUGAGUGGAUGCCAGCAGGAUGCACCAUUUAAUGGGACAUUUAAUUUAACUGAUAAAGAGAGUUGCAACUGGGGAAAAUGCAGGCUUCACUGGCUAUUCGCCACAUUACAAGUUUUUUCCUCUUCGAAUUGUAUUAGCACAUAGUGCCUGUUGAUGCUAUUAGCAAUAAUGUGGAGUCCCGGGAAUGGAUGUAUUUGUGAUCAGUGAUAACACAGUUUUCAGCAUCUCUGUAAAAAAGAUGCUGAAAGACUCAACAAGAAAAGGAAGCAGUGUUUUCUCUGUUGCUUUUACUGUCACUAGAAAGUCAUAUAGAUCUUUAUUAAAAUUAUGUAGAUCUUUAUUGAAUAGCAAGAAUUAUGUUUCUAGGAAAAUUUAUAACUAAAAUUAUUUUCCAUCAAUGAUCAGUAACAUCCAUUUUUUUCAAAAGCACUGUGUUUUUCAGAUCAGCUUUAUUUUCUAAAGUCACAGUUCACAUUUCUACUAGAGAGACAGAGUUGUUAGAACUAUCCAUACUUUAAAAAUGAAAUUUAAGUUAGAAAAACUACAUUUUGGAUAAUUUUAUAUUCACUCUUUCCUUGAUUUAAAUAGAGCAUUAUAAAACAAAUUCCUUCAUAAGCAGUGCAUUUGUGUGUUUAUGCACAUUUAUGUGCACAUAUAUGUAUGUUAUUUUUGUUAAAAAAUUAUAUAAAGAUUGAAAUUGACCUUGGCUGUUGUAUUUGGUUAUUGCAAGAAAUAAUAGCCAUUUUAUAUCUUGAUUCACAUAUCUUCUCAGCUAAUCAUUCUAUAAAAUUCCAAAAGAGAAUUUGGACUGAAAGAAAACAUGAGCUUCCUUCAUGCCUCUAUGUUUGUUUUUGUACAGAAUAUUUAUGCAAUAUUCUAAUUUGACUAUAAUCUAUAAUUUCUGCUAUUUCAGUAGCAACCAUAAUUUUUAGAUUAAUGGUUAUAUUUUAAUGUAAGGCAUACAUGAAAAGUUAUAGGCUUAUGCUUGAGAGAAGUAUCAUUAAAUAUUCAUUAUUACCACCCAAAUUAGUUGUCAUCCUCUAUAUAACAGUUACCCAUUAUCAUUUCACUAGUUUAGAUUUAGCAGUAAGUGAGCAGCAAUAUUUAGCUCAUAUCAGUAGAGAAAUUUUUGUUGGAGAGCAGAGAGAGAAAUGAUUUAGAACCCAUUUGACAUAUUUAUGUUGACAGAUUAUUUAUAGGAAUGACUGUUUUGUCGAUAAACAUGAUUGUGUAUUGGAAUAGGAUUGUGGCUAGAUUUACAUCUAGCUGUUUAAUUACUCGAUAAUUGUGAAAAACAGUGCUCCUUCAGAUGGUUAUGAGGGAAAUAAUUGAAAAUAUCAUGGUUGGUAUGUUUUAGUCUUUUGCAGACACCUAACCUUGCUAUAAAACAACAUUUUUUUUCAUUUUUGUAAGCAGGUUUUGAAAUUUUGUUUCAGCCAAGCUAGAUUUUACUGUUUGUUAGUUUUCUCCAUCUGGUAACAAAUCUAUAGUUAAGAGGAAAAAAAUACUUGGUAAGAAGAGAUGGAUUUUUAUAUAUGUUGUAGGUGAACAUAUAUAUAUAUGUUGUAUAUAUUUUGCUGUAAAGGCAUUUUUAAAAUUUUCACAUAUCUUGGUAUGCAGGUUCAAUUAUAUGAAGAUGUUAGGACAACCACAUUUAAAAAUGAAUCAUUCCAUACUGUUCAGUAAUUUAAAGUGGUUCUUUUUCCAUAGGAAAACCCCCCAUCUAUUUGUUUUUCAUUUAAAUCUAAUUUUAGAGUUUUCUGCUUUAAAGAGUCAAAUUGUAGCUGAUGGACACAUUUUUGCAUUUUUCUACAUUGCUUCUGGACUUUUCAUAAUGAUGGUUUAUUUUAUUUUUUUCUACACAGAAGAGAGGAAAAAUAUAUAGGUCCAUGAAUCAAUCUAGAUAAUGGGGAAGGCUGAAUGUAAUAAAUAAUACAGUAACAACCCUAAACUAAUGAGCUGUUGCUAAGGUACAUUUCAUAGGCUCAUCCUCUAUAUAAAAAGUCACUAAUAACCCCUUGGUGUAAUCAGAUGAUAAAGCUUUGCCAUAAGGCAACACCUGUGCAAUUAGAACCGCAGAUUCUUUUGCACGUUUCAUUAAUUUCAGGAUUUUGUAAAGGCACAAUGACUGCACUAAUAAUCUAGUCUACUUGACUCCAUGUCUACCGGAAACAGAGUGUCUAAUUAGAUAAAGGUAAUUAAUUAGAGAUAAAUGGAGCUAAUCAGGCUCAGUUAACACUAAUUCUCUGAAUUAAGACAUUUUGGGACACCUACUAUCCCGCUGGCUUUGAUAUUUUGCAUGAAAAGUAGGUUCUAGAAGAGUCAGAAAAUACUGGCAUCUGAGAAUGGAGCAAUCUUUUGAUGGCAUAUUUAGGCAUCUGAAGCUAAAGGAGAUUUUUCUUUCAUAUUGUGCUAUUUCACCACAUCUCUGUUGCAGCUUAAAGAAUUCACUUUGUAGUUACGCCAAUCUGCGCUAGUCUCUGUAUAAAUUUUAAUAACCUUUGCUAUCAUUUUUAUUAUCCAUCUCACCCACCAAUGGAAGGGAAUCACAAGUUGUUCUCUCUUAAAUAAAGACUUAACUUGUUACAUUAAGGAAAUGUCAAGACUCAUCAGCCUAUAUCCUAAAAUUCUGAUCCUUUAAAGAGAACAAACACCUAAAAUUCUGAUCCUUUAAUUCUGAUUCUUUAAAGAGAACAAACCUCUGCUUUGCUGUGUUGGACCAAAAUUUUAGUGAUGUGAGGAAUAGCGCUCAGAAGCUUUGAAGUCAAAAGACCCGAAUUCAAAUUUCUGCUCUCCUUCUUACUAAUGAGUGAUCUUAGGAAGUAGCUUAACCUCUCUGAGUUCCUUUGUGAAAUGGAAUAAUACUGAUGCUAACUUUACAGAAUAGUCAUGAACAGUGAGUAUGGUAACUGUGUAAAGGUUGACUGUUGCCUCUUAGGCUGGGAUUGAAGCAUAAUCUAGCACCCUAUCUUGAUUGACUAUAAGAUUCAACAUCAAAGAUGUGACCAUUUUAUCUCCUCUCCAUGAUCAUCUUUGAACUACAUUUAUACACAGAGAAAGGAAGAUGUUAACAAUUUUCUCCCAGGAACUGGAGAGAUGAUAACGGGUUUAAGGUACUUGCUUUGCAUUCAGCUGACCCUGGUUUGAUCUCUGACACCUCAUUUGGUCUCUGAGCACUACCAGGAGUGAUUCCUGAGCGCCAAAUUCCUGAGCACCAGGAAUAAGACCCGAGCACCACUAGUGUGUCACCCCAAACCUCCUGAAAAGAAUUUUCUCUCAAAUCAGAAGAAAGAACCCCCAAGAUUCUUUUCUUGGAGAAUAUAAACUUAUGUGCCCUGAUUUCCUAUACUGAUAUAAUUAAUUCUCCUAGCAAAAGUUAGUCAAAAAUUCACACAGAGUAGAUAGUUUGUUGCAAAACUAAUUUCUGGGGGUGGUAGCUUAAUAUGAAGUAGACAUCUGGAUUUUUUGCCAUAA
Sorex araneus (European shrew) is the source of this 4941-nucleotide long non-coding RNA. RefSeq lists it as uncharacterized. The record is from RefSeq and is a predicted model, not a curated record. Lineage: Eukaryota; Metazoa; Chordata; Mammalia; Eulipotyphla; Soricidae. The transcript has 3 exons.